This 2786-nucleotide unclassified non-coding RNA is filed under the name Hevea brasiliensis (rubber tree). Lineage: Eukaryota; Viridiplantae; Streptophyta; Magnoliopsida; Malpighiales; Euphorbiaceae. The record is from RNAcentral.
CACAACCAAACAGAAAAUAGAGGAUAGGGGGGAAGAAAAUAGAGGAAAGGGGGAAGAGAAAUAGAAGAAAGGGAAGGAGGAGGAGAAGAAGAAGGAGGAAAGAGAGAGAGAGACCGAGAGAGAUGACGCAGCGUGAAGCAUAAAGAAAAGUAACACACACUCACAUAAAGAGUGAAAGGAGAGAGAAAAUACUCUAUCGGACCUUGAACGGGGAAGAAGAUGAGGCCGCCAGACUAGACAGUGCUAUAUUGGUGAAGAGACCUUAAACGGGGAAGAAGAUGAUCGUUUCCAAGUAGGAACAAUGAUGGACCUGAUCCGGAUUCUAAACGAUGUAUUUAAACCCGAACUCUGUUAAGAACCGGUACCGAAUCUUUUCUAUUUUCUUUAUCGGAGCAGGUUCUAAUCGGGUCGGAUGCUAUUAGUAUUAGGUCAACUCGAAAUCUCUAUUCUAUUUAGCGGCGGCGCGGAGCGGCGCAUUUUAUUUUGAUCCAAGCAAACCCUAAAAUUUCUUGUGAAUUGACUUCCUCUGGCUCGUAGUCGAAGGAGUCCAACAAAAAACCAAAAAAUUAUUGUUUGAAUCAGUGCGCUAGAGUUACUACUAAUACUCUAGCUUCAUGAUGAAACCCAACCCUUUAAUGCAGCAGCAGGAGCCUCAGGCGGUGGCGAUCCAGAAUUCGAACCAGGCUUCAUCUGCGGAUGCGCCGCCCAAGCAGGUGGCGAUGGCUAUGGACAGGCUGGCCCAAGCAGCUCGUCUCAUUGCCGACGUAAGGCUCGGCGCUGACCGGCUCCUCGAAGCGCUGUUCAUUGCAGCGCAGCCCCACCAGAGUAACAAGCCCUUGCAUUUGUUCGCGAAAGAAGACGCUGCCAUGCGUCAACAUCUCCAAAACCUCCGCACCGUUGGAAGGCAGCUAGAAGAAUCUGGGGUUCUCAAUGAUUCUCUAAGGUCACGAAGCAAUUCUUGGGGUUUGCAUAUGCCACUAGUGUGUCCAGAUGGUGCAGUCGUUGCAUAUGCUUGGAAAAGGCAACUUGCUGGCCAGGCUGGUGCAUCAGCAGUUGAUAGAACUAGGUUAGCUCUUAAGGCAUUCACAGAUCAGAAAAGGCAAUUUUUCCCUCACCUCGAUGAUGGACUAGAGGGUCAAAGUAAUGAACCUGUAUCAAAAAAGCAUUGCAGUACCCAAGUGCCACCAGCAACUCUUCAGGAAGAUCUUAGUGAUUGCAAAACAUUUUCAGAUGUUUUAACACGUCUGGAAAAAGAAAUGCCAAAUUUGAAAGUUUUCACUUUUGAGCGACUAGAUUGGUUGAAAAGAGCUUCUUCACUGCCAAAUUCAACAAAUGAAAAUCCUGUUGAAACAUCAAAAGAGCAUACUUUUCAUUCUUUAAAUAAACUAAGAACAGGAUCACAGGGCCCUGUUACCACUGAUAAGGCUGCUGUAAUUGAACUGUUGUUUCCUUCUGUCUUCAGAGCUAUUGUUUCAUUGCAUCCAGCUGGUUCUAUUGACCCAGAUGCAGUAGCUUUCUUUUCACCAGAUGAGGUAAUUUUUUUAUAAGAUCUCUCUUUUUCUCAAUUCUAGUUCAUUACCUUGGUAUGAUUGGUAAGCUCUGAUGUUCAUGUAUGACCAUAUUGCCUCUUCCUUCUAGAGUAGCAUCACUUUACCUCUUGAUAGUUGCUACAAUUCAGAGUUCAAUAAUUACUCUUCUGUUUUAAGUUUAUAUCAGAAUUGCAGUAAAAAAGUGAAGAGUUGAAUUUUAGUGCUUGCUUGGAUAUGUUCUCACUAUCCUAGUACAUCCUAUCCAUGUAUUAUAUAUUUAGAUUAACUUAUAAGUUCAGGUGCUAUUUCUCAAACUGAGCAGUAACAUGUAGUCUCAACAUUAUAGAAGUCAAUUCACCAAAUUUUAUUAGUCAAAUCCUACCCUUAAUUCUAGUUUGAUGGGGCGUAUGGUUUUACUUGUGGCACUAAUUGUUGGAACUGAACCAAAAAAUAUUUUGAAGUCUUGUCAACGAGACAAUUACAUUUCGAUGCUUUUGAGCUUAAAAAAAAAAAAUCUUGUACCGAAUCCAUUAUCUACUCGGUUUUGUAUUUUGCUGCCCCUUCCUUUUACACAGGAGGGUGUUCUAGCUGCAUUUUGCUGACAAUUUAUUCAUCUUUUACCCUCUUCAAUAGGGAGGCAGCUAUGUACAUACAAGAGGUUUUUCAGUUCAUCAUGUAUUCAGACAUAUCACGGAGCAUGCUGCAAUGGCACUGCAACAUUUUCUGGGUAUUGGGACUGAAACAGCACUUCAUUUUCUUUUGCAUUGGAUCUGCAGCUAUCAAACGCUCUUUACUAAAGUUUGCAGUAAGUGUGGGCGGCUACUGGCAAUGGACCGAGAAUCAUCAUUAUUGCUACCUCCAGUUCAUCGACCUUACCGGCAUUUUUCUGCUCUGAAAGUUUCAUCAACCCCUGCCACUUCCUCAACCAAGGACCAGUUUCCAGGAGCUUAUCAUAUUGGUUGCUUUUCAGAGGACUUGUAGUUUCUCUAACUUUAGCCGACUCGAUGAUGUUUGACUACUUUGAGAUGCCUAUCUAUGACGUAUGAGGCAUUUUACAGGUUCACCUAGGAAUGAUAUUUCAUUAAUCUUGGUGAGAAAUUGUAAGAAUUGAUAUCGCACAAUAUAUGGCAGAAUGACUCUAGCUUUUUACAUACUGUAAUUAUGAUCAUUUUUUUUUAAUAUUUGGUAAUAUCAUGGCAUACAUCAGGAAAAGUUGUGUUGCUCAUGCAUGAAAAAAAUUUUGCAUGUAAUGUUGAA